RNAcentral lists this ribosomal RNA (398 nucleotides) under uncultured bacterium. RNAcentral describes it as "bacterial SSU rRNA". It matches the Rfam family "Bacterial small subunit ribosomal RNA", at positions 29 to 410 of the family's 1533-position model. The record is from RNAcentral.
AAUGAACGCUGGCGGCGUGCCUAACACAUGCAAGUCGAACGCGAAAGCCCCUUCGGGGGGUAAGUAGAGUGGCGUCCGGGUGAGUAACACGUGGGUAAUCUACCUUCGGGUGGGGGAAUAACUCAGGGAAACUUGAGCUAAUACCGCAUAAUGCAGCGGCACCUAAUGGUGAUUAGUUGUUAAAGCGGGGGAUCGCAAGACCUCGCGCCUGAAGAGGAGCCUGCGGCAGAUUAGCUAGUGGUGAGGUAAUGGCUCACCAAGGCUUCGAUCUGUAGCUGGUCUGAGAGGACGGCCAGCCACACUGGCACUGACACACGGGCCAGACUCCUACGGGAGGCAGCAGUGGGGAAUAUUGGACAAUGGCGCAAGCCUGAUCCAGCGAUGCCGCGUGUGUGAAG